This 274-nucleotide ribosomal RNA is filed under the name uncultured bacterium. Its description in RNAcentral is "partial 16S ribosomal RNA". It matches the Rfam family "Bacterial small subunit ribosomal RNA", at positions 523 to 796 of the family's 1533-position model. The record is from RNAcentral.
AUACGGAGGGGGCAAGCGUUGUUCGGAAUUACUGGGCGUAAAGCGCGCGUAGGCGGCUAAGUAAGUCGGAUGUGAAAGCCCUGGGCUCAACCUGGGAACUGCAUUCGAUACUGUCAGGCUAGAGUAUAGUAGAGGGAAGUGGAAUUCCGGGUGUAGCGGUGAAAUGCGUAGAUAUCCGGAGGAACACCAGUGGCGAAGGCGGCUUCCUGGACUAAUACUGACACUGAGGUACGAAAGCGUGGGGAGCAAACAGGAGUAGAAACCCCAGUAGUCC